GUCGGACGUCUCCUAGACCGUCACCGUGGCGUGUUUGUGAGGAAAUGAAAGUGAAAGUGGGAGUUAGCGCUCACUCCGCGCCAUGCCUUCCCAACUGGCUUGUAGCGAGUCUAAGGUGCACGAGGAGAUUCUACAGCUGUUGUCUCAACAUCCUUCUGGACUGAAGGUAUCUGACUUCACUGCAGCCUAUCGGAGAAAGUACUGUGAAGAUCUAGUCCUCUCCAGACAUGGAUUCAAUAAGCUGACAGGUCUUUUCAAAGCCAUGGAGGAUUAUGUGGAUAUUCUGGAGUUAAAUGGAGAUCAAUUUGUCAAGAUUAAGUCGAAGCACAUUCUCCAAGACCAGGUCUCAGCAUCCUGUCACUAUGAGGACCCACGGCAUUCACGAGAAGACUCCCCGGUUACCGCUCUGUCUUGCCAGCACAGCUCACUCUUGGUGAGAAAGACUGCUGAACUCCUAAUAUCUACUAAUAUAUACUUGGAAUUCCUUCACUUCCUUCUGCCCUUUUCACAGAUGGUAGAAAUAGUCAUUGUGCAUGUACUCAG
This 543-nucleotide long non-coding RNA is filed under the name Scleropages formosus (Asian bonytongue). RNAcentral's name for it is "lncRNA (ENSSFOG00015024982.1)". Lineage: Eukaryota; Metazoa; Chordata; Actinopteri; Osteoglossiformes; Osteoglossidae. The record is from RNAcentral.